Unclassified non-coding RNA from Macaca mulatta (Rhesus monkey), 148 nucleotides. It matches the Rfam family "Metazoan signal recognition particle RNA". Rfam says of the family: The signal recognition particle (SRP) is a universally conserved ribonucleoprotein. The record is from Ensembl. Lineage: Eukaryota; Metazoa; Chordata; Mammalia; Primates; Cercopithecidae.
GCUGGGCAGGGUGGUGCAUGCCUGUAAUCCCAGCUACUCCGGAGGCUGAGGCAGGAGAAUCACUAGAACCCAGGAGGUGGAGGUUGCAGUGAGCCAAGACUGCACCACUGCACUCCAGCCUGGAUGACAGAGUGAGACCCUGUCUCUA